GGGGCCUGCGCUGACCCCGGCGCUGAGUCCCUGGGGCCGCCGGGCGGAUGGCGUGGCCGGACGCGGGGGCCCCGGGCCUUCCGGGCGUGACCUAGGGCUCGGGGGCGGGGAGGCCCCUCCGGCGGGGCGGCCCUGGGUGGUCCGGCAGAGGCGGAGGCCGCUCCGAGCCUGUGAGCCCUGGGCGCCUGCGGAGGCGGGGAGAGGGCGGGGUGUGCCGCCCUGGUGGGGACCGCGGGGUCGGAGAGGGGACAUUGCCCCCCCCGAGGCGAACGUCCAACCGCGGGUCCGGGUCCCCGCCCAAGGCCGCCCCGCGAGGUGGCCUCGGCCCGGCCGUCCCCGAGGGUGGCUCGGAUCCUUUCAACCAGCGCGCUGGAGGCGAAGGGGCUGCGCCAUUCCGGGUCAGGCAGCCAACGCGGGACACGCGCGUCUCCGAGCUUGCGGCCCGCGAAACCCGGGUGACCUACCGCGCCGGUGCCCUCAAAGCCCCCACGCCCGGGCCGGUGGCCGCUGCAGCCACUGAGCCACGCGGUCUCCCCGGCCCGGUCGGCAGAAGGAGCUGGUCCGUUACUAGAAAAGUCCAGAUGCAAAGUCGGGGGUCGUGCUGCCGCUUCCUGCCAGCGCACCGCACCCACCUGGGGCCGCCACCGACCGCACAGGACGCGCCUCCUACCCCCUGUUCUGGCCCGGCCGAGAGCUGGUGCCCCCAGCGGCCGCCCGCCCCCGUCCGCAGACCCCGGGGCCCUUGCUGCUUUGCAUUGGGAACAACCGGAGCCAGGCCCGGAGCUGAGGGGGCCAGGGCCUUUGGAGGAAGCAUUGGCCUCCAGGCUGAAGAGCAAGGGCCGUGUCACCUGCCCGGAGGGCGGUCUCAUCUCUGCAGCCAGACAUCGCCCACUCGGGCUCACAGUGCCAUCCGGGUGAGGACCUCCGUGGAGAGCUCUCUUUGCCAAAGAAAAGCAGUUGCAUUAGGUCUGCGAGCAGGCAGGGUGGCCUCUUCCUGGCUCCCCAUCCACCAAGGAAGCUUCAAGUCCCUGGGACACAGGCACUUUCCCACACAGGAUGGAGCCGGGCCACCCUCACAGCUCCUGCCCUGCAGACGCUGGCCUUGUGGAGGGAGGCAGGCAGCAGGAGCAGUGCUUUCUGGGCCUCUGUAGCCAGAGCUGGCCCUGCUGCAGCUUACGUCUGCCUGCAGCCCAGACGUCCUCCUGGUCCUCCUGAUGCCCCCGACCUCCACGGAGGACGAGCAUUUCCAGCCCAGCCCUCCCCAUCUUCACCUCGCACUCCCCUGACACACUGGGAGCCUCCUGAUCCGUGAACCCGCGCUGGCGGGAGUAGCUACUGACCGCUGGGGACCCCUGCCCAGGCUGUUCGCAUGUGGAAAGGAUUCAGGGAGCAGGCGAUGCCCAAAGCGUGGAGACCAGCACUGCUCUCUCCCCAGUGACAGGUGCACGCCCAGAUCACGGAUGUGUCGGGAACAGCUGUGCUCCUGCUGCUCAGCGUCCGUCACUCCAGGCUGGGAGCGGGUCCCCAAGCUUCUGGCUGGGCCUAUCCGUCUCCACUCUCAGUGUGGGGGUGGGGGGCGCCAACAGCACGCAUUUGCUCUCUGCACUUCUCGUCUGAUAAUGGGCAGAGGGUCCUUCUGCAGCCCCAAAACAUCCCUAGGCAGGAGCCCUGGGGCCCCAAGCAGCCAGGGAGGUGAGCACCAAGGACCUCCCAGAGAGCGUCACCUUCCGUCGAGGGAGGCCCAGCCUGGGGGCGGUGUCUGAGACUUGGAAUCAACGCUUCCGUUGGUGGCAGUAAAUCCUGUCCCUAACCCUGCAGUACAGCUGUGCCGUGUACAGGAGGGUGCUGUCUGACGCCAGACACCUGGACUACAGAUCGCAGCCUGAUUCCUGGUCAUUGCUCCACUGAACCCCAGACCCCAGCCUCGUUCUGGGCCCUCAUCCCCUAGAUCCAGGGACCCCAGCCCCAUUUCAGCCCUUGGGCCCUUGUAGGAUGCGAGGCCCUGGGCCCCAGCCCCCAGCCCAUCCGUGGCCCAGGCACUGGGGGGCUGAGGUCCUCUGAGAAGGGACACAGGGCCUGGGGGGCUCUCUCAGCCCAUCAGCAGGAGAGGACUGACUCCAGAAAAAUCAGCGUUUGUACCCACUCAGGCUGCCAAGACCUGUGUCCGUCCUUCCAAGCUCAACCUUCAGAGUUCAUGAGGCCCCUUGCCCAGAAUGUCCACAGAGUUCAUGAGGCCCCUUGCCCGGAAUGUCCACAUUUGAAACCUCCCAACACCGAGCCCCAUUUCAAGUAUAACCAGGAGGGAAAAUGGUGCUUGAAAUAAGCAUGCCACAAAGGAAAACCUGCUUUCUCGAAAUGGGCCCUGGCCGCCCAGGCCCUGACCUCCCCGGCCAGGAUGGAACGUUCCAGAGACCCAUUAGUGCCAAAGGCAAAUGAAAACACACCCUGUGAAAAUGUC
Homo sapiens (human) is the source of this 2458-nucleotide long non-coding RNA. Ensembl annotates it as cytoplasmic endogenous regulator of oxidative phosphorylation 1. Its record names the gene CEROX1. Lineage: Eukaryota; Metazoa; Chordata; Mammalia; Primates; Hominidae. The record is from Ensembl.